This 1979-nucleotide ribosomal RNA is filed under the name human gut metagenome. Its description in RNAcentral is "bacterial LSU rRNA". It matches the Rfam family "Bacterial large subunit ribosomal RNA", at positions 3 to 1991 of the family's 2925-position model. The record is from RNAcentral.
UCAAGUAAGUAAGGGCGUACGGCGGAUGCCUUGGCCAUAUCAGCCGAAGAAGGACGCGAUAAGCUGCGAUAAGCUGCGGUGAGGUGCAAGUAACCUUUGACCCGCAGAUCUCCGAAUGGGGAAACCCGGCAGCAGUAGUGCUGUCAUCCUCUAUGAGGAAGGGCACCCGGUGAACUGAAACAUCUAAGUAGCCGGAGGAAAAGGAAUCAACAGAGAUACCCCUAGUAGCGGCGAGCGAACGGGGCAGAGCCCAAACCGGGAUGGGAAACCAAUCCGGGGUUGUGGACUGCUAUCAAAUGCAUGAGUGAAGCAGAAUGAGCUGGGAAGCUCAGCCAGAGAGAGUGAGAGCCUCGUAGGCGUAAGCAAAUGCAUGGAGCAGGAUCCGGAGUACCACGGGACACGAGAAACCCUGUGGGAAGCUGGGGGGACCACCCUCCAAGGCGAAACACUGAUAUGGACCGAUAGCGCAUAGUACCGUGAGGGAAAGGUGAAAAGAACCCCGGGAGGGGAAUGAAAGAGAACCUGAAACCGUAUGUCUACAAGCAGUCGAAGACCUUUAUAUGGUCGACGGCGUGCCUAUUGAAGAAUGAACCGGCGAGUUACUUCAGCUAGCGAGGUUAAGCAGAAAAUGCGGAGCCGCAGCGAAAGCGAGUCUGAACAGGGCGUAUAGUUAGUUGGAGUAGACCCGAAACCACAGUGAUCUACCCAUGUCCAGGUUGAAGCACAGGUAAAAAUGUGUGGAGGACCGAACCAGUGAGCGUUGAAAAGCUUUUGGAUGAGAUGUGGGUAGGGGUGAAAUGCCAAUCGAACGUGGAGAUAGCUGGUUCUCCCCGAAAUAGCUUUAGGGCUAGCCUCAUGGCGAGAGUACAGGCGGUAGAGCACUGAACGGGGUAGGGGCCUAUCCGGCUACUGAACCUAAUCAAACUGCGAAUGGCUGUACUUAUCCAUGGGAGUCAGACUGUGAGUAAUAAGGCCCAUAGUCAAGAGGGAAACAGCCCAGACCAACAGCUAAGGUCCCCAAUGCCGUACUAAGUGGCGAAGGAUGUGGAAUUUCGAAAACAACCAGGAUGUUGGCUCAGAAGCAGCCACCAUUAAAAGAGUGCGUAAUAGCUCACUGGUCGAGAGACUCUGCGCCGAAGAUGUCCGGGGCUAAAGUACGGAACCGAAGCUUUGGCAAUUAACAUAAGUUAAUUGGGUAGGGGAGCGUUCCUGCAUGGGAGAAGCCUGACCGGAAGGACAGGUGGACAGGCAGGAAGAGAGAAUGCCGGUAUGAGUAGCGAAAAGAAGGGUGAGAAUCCCUUCCACCGAAAGCCUAAGGGUUCCUGGGCAACGAUCGUCGUCCCAGGGUAAGUCGGGACCUAAUCCGAGGCGGAGACGCGUAGGAGAUGGACAACAGGUUGAAAUUCCUGUACUGGCUGAGGCCGUUUGAGCGAAGGAGUGACACAGGAAGGAAGGCGCGCGUGCGAUUGGAAGAGCACGUCCAAGCAGGUAGGUCGGGAGACAGGCAAAUCCGUUUCCCAGAAGGCCGAGAUGCGAUGGGGAGCUUCUGGAGACAGAAGCGAAGGGGCUGGCACUAAACUGUCGAGAAAAGCUUCUAGUGAGGACUCAGGCACCCGUACCGAAACCGACACAGGUAGGCAGGAUGAGAAUUCUAAGGUGCGCGGGAAAACCCUCGUUAAGGAACUCGGCAAAAUAUAUCCGUAACUUCGGGAAAAGGAUAACCCAGCGUACGUGAAGUGCAGAAACGCAUGGAGCGGAGAUGGGUGGCAGAAGAGAGGCCCAAGCGACUGUUUACCACAAACACAGGCGUCUGCUAAAGCGAAAGCUGAUGUAUAGAUGCUGACACCUGCCCGGUGCUGGAAGGUUAAGAGGAAGUGUUAGCGCAAGCGAAGCAGUGAAUUGAAGCCCCAGUAAACGGCGGCCGUAACUAUAACGGUCCUAAGGUAGCGAAAUUCCUUGUCGGGUAAGUUCCGACCCGC